RNAcentral lists this ribosomal RNA (2902 nucleotides) under Klebsiella pneumoniae. Its description in RNAcentral is "23S ribosomal RNA". It matches the Rfam family "Bacterial large subunit ribosomal RNA". Lineage: Bacteria; Pseudomonadati; Pseudomonadota; Gammaproteobacteria; Enterobacterales; Enterobacteriaceae. The record is from RNAcentral.
GGUUAAGCGACUAAGCGUACACGGUGGAUGCCCUGGCAGUCAGAGGCGAUGAAGGACGUGCUAAUCUGCGAAAAGCGUCGGUAAGGUGAUAUGAACCGUUAUAACCGGCGAUGUCCGAAUGGGGAAACCCAGUGUGAUUCGUCACACUAUCGUUAACUGAAUACAUAGGUUAACGAGGCGAACCGGGGGAACUGAAACAUCUAAGUACCCCGAGGAAAAGAAAUCAACCGAGAUUCCCCCAGUAGCGGCGAGCGAACGGGGAGCAGCCCAGAGUCUGAAUCAGCUUGUGUGUUAGUGGAACGGUCUGGAAAGUCCGACGGUACAGGGUGAUAGUCCCGUACACCAAAAUGCACAGGCUGUGAACUCGAAGAGUAGGGCGGGACACGUGGUAUCCUGUCUGAAUAUGGGGGGACCAUCCUCCAAGGCUAAAUACUCCUGACUGACCGAUAGUGAACCAGUACCGUGAGGGAAAGGCGAAAAGAACCCCGGCGAGGGGAGUGAAAAAGAACCUGAAACCGUGUACGUACAAGCAGUGGGAGCACCUUCGGGUGUGACUGCGUACCUUUUGUAUAAUGGGUCAGCGACUUAUAUUCUGUAGCAAGGUUAACCGUAUAGGGGAGCCGCAGGGAAACCGAGUCUUAACUGGGCGUUAAGUUGCAGGGUAUAGACCCGAAACCCGGUGAUCUAGCCAUGGGCAGGUUGAAGGUUGGGUAACACUAACUGGAGGACCGAACCGACUAAUGUUGAAAAAUUAGCGGAUGACUUGUGGCUGGGGGUGAAAGGCCAAUCAAACCGGGAGAUAGCUGGUUCUCCCCGAAAGCUAUUUAGGUAGCGCCUCGUGAACUCAUCUUCGGGGGUAGAGCACUGUUUCGGCUAGGGGGUCAUCCCGACUUACCAACCCGAUGCAAACUACGAAUACCGAAGAAUGUUAUCACGGGAGACACACGGCGGGUGCUAACGUCCGUCGUGAAGAGGGAAACAACCCAGACCGCCAGCUAAGGUCCCAAAGUCAUGGUUAAGUGGGAAACGAUGUGGGAAGGCACAGACAGCCAGGAUGUUGGCUUAGAAGCAGCCAUCAUUUAAAGAAAGCGUAAUAGCUCACUGGUCGAGUCGGCCUGCGCGGAAGAUGUAACGGGGCUAAACCAUGCACCGAAGCUGCGGCAGCGACACUAUGUGUUGUUGGGUAGGGGAGCGUUCUGUAAGCCUGCGAAGGUGUGCUGUGAGGCAUGCUGGAGGUAUCAGAAGUGCGAAUGCUGACAUAAGUAACGAUAAAGCGGGUGAAAAGCCCGCUCGCCGGAAGACCAAGGGUUCCUGUCCAACGUUAAUCGGGGCAGGGUGAGUCGACCCCUAAGGCGAGGCCGAAAGGCGUAGUCGAUGGGAAACAGGUUAAUAUUCCUGUACUUGGUGUUACUGCGAAGGGGGGACGGAGAAGGCUAUGUUAGCCGGGCGACGGUUGUCCCGGUUUAAGCAUGUAGGCUGGUUAUCCAGGCAAAUCCGGAUAAUCAAGGCUGAGGUGUGAUGACGAGGCACUACGGUGCUGAAGUAACAAAUGCCCUGCUUCCAGGAAAAGCCUCUAAGCAUCAGGUAACAUCAAAUCGUACCCCAAACCGACACAGGUGGUCAGGUAGAGAAUACCAAGGCGCUUGAGAGAACUCGGGUGAAGGAACUAGGCAAAAUGGUGCCGUAACUUCGGGAGAAGGCACGCUGGUGUGUAGGUGAAGCCCCUGCGGGUGGAGCUGAGACCAGUCGAAGAUACCAGCUGGCUGCAACUGUUUAUUAAAAACACAGCACUGUGCAAACACGAAAGUGGACGUAUACGGUGUGACGCCUGCCCGGUGCCGGAAGGUUAAUUGAUGGGGUUAUCCGUAAGGAGAAGCUCUUGAUCGAAGCCCCGGUAAACGGCGGCCGUAACUAUAACGGUCCUAAGGUAGCGAAAUUCCUUGUCGGGUAAGUUCCGACCUGCACGAAUGGCGUAAUGAUGGCCAGGCUGUCUCCACCCGAGACUCAGUGAAAUUGAACUCGCUGUGAAGAUGCAGUGUACCCGCGGCAAGACGGAAAGACCCCGUGAACCUUUACUAUAGCUUGACACUGAACAUUGAGCCUUGAUGUGUAGGAUAGGUGGGAGGCUUUGAAGCGUGGACGCCAGUCUGCGUGGAGCCAACCUUGAAAUACCACCCUUUAAUGUUUGAUGUUCUAACGUUGGCCCCUGACCGGGGUUGCGGACAGUGUCUGGUGGGUAGUUUGACUGGGGCGGUCUCCUCCCAAAGCGUAACGGAGGAGCACGAAGGUUAGCUAAUCCUGGUCGGACAUCAGGAGGUUAGUGCAAUGGCAUAAGCUAGCUUGACUGCGAGCGUGACGGCGCGAGCAGGUGCGAAAGCAGGUCAUAGUGAUCCGGUGGUUCUGAAUGGAAGGGCCAUCGCUCAACGGAUAAAAGGUACUCCGGGGAUAACAGGCUGAUACCGCCCAAGAGUUCAUAUCGACGGCGGUGUUUGGCACCUCGAUGUCGGCUCAUCACAUCCUGGGGCUGAAGUAGGUCCCAAGGGUAUGGCUGUUCGCCAUUUAAAGUGGUACGCGAGCUGGGUUUAGAACGUCGUGAGACAGUUCGGUCCCUAUCUGCCGUGGGCGCUGGAGAAUUGAGGGGGGCUGCUCCUAGUACGAGAGGACCGGAGUGGACGCAUCACUGGUGUUCGGGUUGUCAUGCCAAUGGCACUGCCCGGUAGCUAAAUGCGGAAGAGAUAAGUGCUGAAAGCAUCUAAGCACGAAACUUGCCCCGAGAUGAGUUCUCCCUGAGACUUUAAGUCUCCUGAAGGAACGUUGAAGACGACGACGUUGAUAGGCCGGGUGUGUAAGCGCAGCGAUGCGUUGAGCUAACCGGUACUAAUGAACCGUGAGGCUUAACCUU